This 88-nucleotide non-coding RNA is filed under the name unclassified sequences. The record is from RNAcentral.
AUGGUUCUGCCACCGGGUAGAAAAAGCGAAAGCAUUCGUUACACAUCAUUAGGUCUUAGAAGAUGUGUAUACGGGUGCUUGUUUUUAU